UCUUGGCUAAGGGCAUGAGUUUCCGAAAUAACUGUUGAGUCCCUUAAAGAGCAAACUCCUCGUUCUACACACUCCCCUCUCACUACUGCGCUUAACUAAAAUAAA
This 105-nucleotide small RNA is filed under the name Mus spretus (western wild mouse). RNAcentral's name for it is "predicted gene, 56181 (ENSMSPG00010024777.1)". Lineage: Eukaryota; Metazoa; Chordata; Mammalia; Rodentia; Muridae. The record is from RNAcentral.